RNAcentral lists this ribosomal RNA (206 nucleotides) under uncultured bacterium. Its description in RNAcentral is "partial 16S ribosomal RNA". It matches the Rfam family "Bacterial small subunit ribosomal RNA", at positions 568 to 773 of the family's 1533-position model. The record is from RNAcentral.
CACGUAGGCGGUUUAGCAAGUUGGGGGUGUAAGCUCUAGGCUUAACCUAGAAAUUGCCUCCAAAACUACUUCACUUGAGUAUUAGAGGGGAAGCUGGAAUUCACGGUGUAGCGGUGAAAUGCGUAGAUAUCGUGGAGAACACCCGUGGCGAAGGCGGGCUUCUGGCUAAUUACUGACGCUGAGGUGCGAAAGCUAGGGGAGCGAAG